UACGUAGGGGGCAAGCGUUGUCCGGAUUUAUUGGGCGUAAAGAGCGUGUAGGCGGCCAGGCAGGUCCGCUGUGAAAACUCGAGGCUCAACCUCGAGAGGUCGGUGGAAACCGUUUGGCUAGAGUCCGGAAGAGGGGAGUGGAAUUCCCGGUGUAGCGGUGAAAUGCGCAGAUAUCGGGAAGAACACCCGUGGCGAAGGCGGCUCUCUGGGACGGUACUGACGCUGAGACGCGAAAGCGUGGGGAGCGAAUAGGG
Molecule: ribosomal RNA, 254 nt
Filed under: uncultured bacterium
Lineage: Bacteria
Description: partial 16S ribosomal RNA
Rfam family: Bacterial small subunit ribosomal RNA
Source: RNAcentral